GACCCCAGGUCAGGCGGGACUACCCGCUGAGUU
RNAcentral lists this ribosomal RNA (33 nucleotides) under Corynocarpus laevigatus. RNAcentral describes it as "partial 26S ribosomal RNA". The record is from RNAcentral. Lineage: Eukaryota; Viridiplantae; Streptophyta; Magnoliopsida; Cucurbitales; Corynocarpaceae. RNAcentral also lists the same sequence under 4 other names.